RNAcentral lists this small RNA (1111 nucleotides) under uncultured fungus. RNAcentral's name for it is "eukaryotic LSU rRNA". The stretch from base 677 to 1111 matches the Rfam family "Eukaryotic large subunit ribosomal RNA", at positions 1 to 429 of the family's 3401-position model. The record is from RNAcentral. Lineage: Eukaryota; Fungi.
UCCGUAGGUGAACCUGCGGAAGGAUCAUUACAGUAUGAAUAGAAGGUUUUGCUGCUGGCCUUACACCAAGGCAUGUGCGCACCUUCAAAUUUCUAAUCCACAUACACCUGUGAACCUUAGACGUAGAUUGGACUCCCGGCUUCUAUUUGGAGCCGUGAGCGGUUUCUAGGAGGUUUUUCCUUCAAGAGACUGAGUCUGACUCGUCUACUUUAACAUAUACCCCUAAACAAGUUUUAAACGCAUGUCUUUUAAUGGGCUCUAUGGAGCUUAUAAACAUUAAUACAACUUUCAACAACGGAUCUCUUGGCUUCCACAUCGAUGAAGAACGCAGCGAACGUGCGAAACGUAAUGUGAAUUGCAGAAUUCAGUGAAUCAUCGAGUCUUUGAACGCAUCUUGCACUCCUUGGUAUUCCGAGGAGUAUGCCUGUUUGAGUGUCGUGAAUACUCUCAAGCUUGACCUUUUUUUCAUUAAGAAGGUCAUAGUUUGGAUUUGGAUGUUGCUGCGGUUGUACUAUCGCGGCUCGUCUCGAAAUGCAUUAGCUGGUCCACCGCGGUCUAUUAUAAAACUCUAUGGUGUGAUAAGAACACAAAUUCUUUGUAGCGCUAUAGUGAAUAGACCCAUGGGAUGUGAUUGCUUCUAAUAGUCCAUUAACUUGGACAAUAUCACUUUGUUAUCUGACCUCAAAUCAGGUAGGACUACCCGCUGAACUUAAGCAUAUCAAUAAGCGGAGGAAAAGAAACUAACAAGGAUUCCCCUAGUAACGGCGAGUGAAGCGGGAUGAGCUCAAAUUUGAAAUCUGGCGGUCUACGGCCGUCCGAGUUGUAGUCUAGAGAAGUGUUUUCCGUGCUGGACCGUGUACAAGUCCCUUGGAAUAGGGCGUCGUAGAGGGUGAGAAUCCCGUCUCUGACACGGACUACCAGUGCUCUGUGAUGCACUCUCGAAGAGUCGAGUUGUUUGGGAAUGCAGCUCAAAAUGGGUGGUAAAUUCCAUCUAAAGCUAAAUAUUGGUGGAAGACCGAUAGCGAACAAGUACCGUGAGGGAAAGAUGAAAAGCACUUUGGAAAGAGAGUUAAACAGUACGUGAAAUUGUUGAAAGGGAAACGCUUGAAGU